Molecule: transfer RNA, 72 nt
Filed under: Jaagichlorella roystonensis
Lineage: Eukaryota; Viridiplantae; Chlorophyta; Trebouxiophyceae; Watanabeales; Watanabeaceae
Description: tRNA-Gln
Source: RNAcentral
CUGGGAUGAAAGGAUUCGAACCUUUGAAUGGCGGACUCAAAUUCCGACGCCUUACCGCUUGGCCACACCCCA